GUUCAUGGCUCAGGAUGAACGCUAGCUACAGGCUUAACACAUGCAAGUCGAGGGGCAGCAUGAACUUAGCUUGCUAAGUUUGAUGGCGACCGGCGCACGGGUGAGUAACACGUAUCCAACCUGCCGAUGACUCGGGGAUAGCCUUUCGAAAGAAAGAUUAAUACCCGAUGGCAUAGUUCUUCCGCAUGGUGGAACUAUUAAAGAAUUUCGGUCAUCGAUGGGGAUGCGUUCCAUUAGG
This 238-nucleotide ribosomal RNA is filed under the name uncultured bacterium. RNAcentral's name for it is "partial 16S ribosomal RNA". It matches the Rfam family "Bacterial small subunit ribosomal RNA", at positions 15 to 245 of the family's 1533-position model. The record is from RNAcentral.